UACGUAGGGGGCAAGCGUUGUCCGGAUUUAUUGGGCGUAAAGAGCGUGUAGGCGGCUUUACAGGUCCGUUGUGAAAACUCGAGGCUCAACCUCGUGCCUGCAGUGGGUACGGGCAGACUAGAGUGCGGUAGGGGAGAUUGGAAUUCCUGGUGUAGCGGUGGAAUGCGCAGAUAUCAGGAGGAACACCAAUGGCGAAGGCAGAUCUCUGGGCCGUAACUGACGCUGAGGAGCGAAAGCAUGGGGAGCGAACAGG
Molecule: ribosomal RNA, 253 nt
Filed under: uncultured bacterium
Lineage: Bacteria
Description: partial 16S ribosomal RNA
Rfam family: Bacterial small subunit ribosomal RNA
Source: RNAcentral